RNAcentral lists this ribosomal RNA (541 nucleotides) under uncultured bacterium. Its description in RNAcentral is "partial 16S ribosomal RNA". It matches the Rfam family "Bacterial small subunit ribosomal RNA", at positions 355 to 887 of the family's 1533-position model. The record is from RNAcentral.
UGGGGAAUUUUGGACAAUGGGGGAAACCCUGAUCCAGCCAUCCCGCGUGUGCGAUGAAGGCCUUCGGGUUGUAAAGCACUUUUGGCAGGAAAGAAACGUCGCGGGUUAAUACCCCGCGAAACUGACGGUACCUGCAGAAUAAGCACCGGCUAACUACGUGCCAGCAGCCGCGGUAAUACGUAGGGUGCAAGCGUUAAUCGGAAUUACUGGGCGUAAAGCGUGCGCAGGCGGUUCGGAAAGAAAGAUGUGAAAUCCCAGAGCUUAACUUUGGAACUGCAUUUUUAACUACCGGGCUAGAGUGUGUCAGAGGGAGGUGGAAUUCCGCGUGUAGCAGUGAAAUGCGUAGAUAUGCGGAGGAACACCGAUGGCGAAGGCAGCCUCCUGGGAUAACACUGACGCUCAUGCACGAAAGCGUGGGGAGCAAACAGGAUUAGAUACCCUGGUAGUCCACGCCCUAAACGAUGUCAACUAGCUGUUGGGGCCUUCGGGCCUUGGUAGGCGCAGGCUAACGCGUGAAGUUGACCGCCUGGGGAGUACGGUC